Megalops cyprinoides (Indo-Pacific tarpon) is the source of this 3822-nucleotide long non-coding RNA. RefSeq lists it as uncharacterized. The transcript is spliced from 3 exons. NCBI's taxonomy places the organism in Eukaryota, Metazoa, Chordata, Actinopteri, Elopiformes, Megalopidae. The record is from RefSeq and is a predicted model, not a curated record.
GCGGGUGUAAAAUGGCGUAGAGGAGGAUGUAGCGCGUUGGGGCAAGGGGAGUACCUGGCGAAGGGCUCCUGCCGCCAGCUAGGUAAGACCAUGCAUCCUUUGCUGCUGCUACUGUAUAAACGAGAUGAGCCUCAAAACAUGGAAUUUUAGCACAUCCACUGAGUUUCCCAAAGGAACUAGACAAGAUGCGAAGUGAGUAAUAGGUGUCGAGUCAUACAGCCUCUCCAAGCACCCUAAGAAAUCAAAAUCCGAGGCCCUGUGGAGCUACCAGCCUGGAGUGAUGGAGACUGAGAGGCCAUGGAUAAGUCUGCUGAGGUCAGUAGGAACCUGGGGAAUCAGUAGGAAUCAGAGUGCCAUCCCUCGUCCCUCCGCUCAGAGAAGACUAAUUGGAGAGUCCGCUUCCAGUGCCAGAGAUACAGGCGGUGGACACGGCCAGGGCUAAAUUGGCCCCUUUCAAUAUGCAUUCCCUAUCCUCUUCCCCUUCCAAAAACACUACUGCGCCCUUUCCGCACUCAUGACAAUGUCAGCCAGCAAAAUCAUCUUGUUUCCUCCCUCAACAGUAUCAAUCGUGUAAUAACUGAUUACAGAGUUCAUUUUCAGAGGUGAAAUGGAGCACUUUGAACAUCAGAUGUUGGCUGUAGGUGAUAACUGCUUGAACCAAUUGAACCAUUUUUACCCUUUUCUGUGAAGCACUGCCAGUCAGCACUGAAUGGACUGCAGUGAACAUAAUUUCAGAAAGUCUGACGAACUUGAGCGCUAAAGUCAUAGAGGCUCCCCUUUCUCUGUGAAAUGAUUAUUAUUUUCCUAACCAUAUUAGCUUUGCAGACAUGUAGAGACAGAUUUAACCUGGCAGCAUACUCCUUGUCCUUCCAAGGAGGAUCACCCAUUACCCAACAGGCAUGCCAGCCCAGCCAUUCACAGUCACAAGACAAGGUGCUGGUUGUAGAAAUGCUCACGACCACGGUUGUCAUUAUUUAUUUGUAUGUUAUUUGUAUGUGACUCAUAAAAUGCUGGUUUUUAAGUCUGAGUAGUGUAGAAGUAGACUACUCAAACUUGGGGCAACUUAAUCCUCUCAUUCCCUAAUUGUGUCUUGGAGAGAAAAUGCUAUAGAACCCAUCCUGUCUAAUAAGACCGGACACUGGCCUCUGAGAGUAAAUGAGAAUAGAGGCUGUUUGAGAACAAGGAAACUCUAAACAUGUCUCUGUCUUAGUCAGUUUUGCACUGUCAGUUCUGAUUUGGUGUGUGAAGGUAGACAAGCACAUUCGUAUUUACUGUUGGGUGUUUCAUCCAUUGCCUGCUAUGUUAAUCCCAACCCAUGUGUCUAACAUAAGGAGUAUGCAUUGGAUGAAAAGUUACCCAAGAUGGUUCUAAUUUUUAGGACAUUUUAGUAUACAUAAAAACCCAUAACGUCUUUAAAUUCAAGGCUGUAGUGGCAGGAGUGGUUACUUUUUACCAUUUUACCUGUGUUAAGUGUAUCCUGCACUUGUGCAUUCGAUCACUUCACCAACACUGGACCAGCUCCAGAAGCAGCAUUCUGGUUUUUUUCCUUAAAAUGGAUUUGUGCAAUACAUUAUUUCUUCCUUAACCCCUGUUGCUAUUAUAAAUAUGUAUAAAAUAUAAUUGUGAAACAAGUGACAAGUUGUUUAAAAACAACAAAAUCACCAACGUCUUCCAUUAAGAGAUGUAUAGUCCCAUGCGCAUUAGCUUACUAGCAGGACAGUAGUGCCAACAUUAUAACUGGCCAUGCAUGAGAGGUAGUGAUGCAUGCUGAAUAAAAUAAUAAUAGUAAUAAUAUUUUUUAAUUGUAAAAAGUGAAAAUAUAGCGACUCCCCUCUGACUGAGCAUAGUUACUAACCAGGAUGCAGCAUCCUUUCUUACAACAGUCUGAGACUAGAUUUCUAGGAGUGAUUUCACAAAUCUGUAGUUUUAAACCUUGAGCAGGUUACUUAAAUUCACAAUAGGACGUGUAAGAUCUAUGCCAAGGGAAAUGCGGCUUUUGUUUGUGUGUUCAUCUUGUGUUCCACUGUAGUUCCUUAAAGGAUGUGGACACACAGUAGCCCCCUAGCAUCUAUCUGUAGAAAGAUACAACACUUCUAAUGUGAUUUAUAUAAAGCCAAAAUGUAUCAUUGUCAUACAUUGUUUUUAUGUUUCAAACAUUUUUUUGUAUAGUAUGUAGCUAACAAUAUAAUUUUGUAAUGUUUAUAUACUGUGUAACCCCCUCCAUGCCUUCGCAUGCAUAAUAAUUCAAUGUAGAAACAUGCUGAGUUUAGUGAAGAACCAUCUGUGGUUUUGAGAGGAGCCGAUGUAGACUGAGCGGAAUCCCCAAGCCCUUCUCACUCAGCAUAAGUUUGCAAGUGUGAGAUAACGCAGCAGCGCAGUUUUGAAAGCAAAAAGCUAGUGGAGGAUAUGAGAGGACAUCUCUGAGACACAUUUGUAAGUUACUUAGUACUGUCUAAGAGGGGAAGGUAUGCUAGUUUUUAAGUCCUCAGCUCUUCCCCUCCUGGCAUGCCAAGAAAGCAGCAGCUAAAACAACAUUUAGUUUCACCUCUUGUGCAUCAAAGAUGACCCAUUCCUGUUUGCCAUAUACACCACACCUUCUAAUCUCUAAUGAUGAUGUAUACAGACAAUUGAAGUGGUGUGUGGGAAAAUAUUAGUCAUUUUUAAUUACAUCAAACUUAGCAGAGAUGUUCAGUUAUAAAGCAGAGUGAGCUGUGAUAUGUUGUCAACAAGUGGUGACUCUCCUUGUCAACUGAGACACAUCUGUGUUGAUUUGUUAUGCUCCUCUCAGAGCACUUCUGUUUUACCCAGAAUGCUUUACUGAAGGCAGAGGACUGUGUUCCACAGUUUGUCUUAACCUGUUGGAAAUGUGAAAGUUUUAUUCCAAGAAACAGGAGUCUCAGACAUGAUAGGGGAUGUGUCUCCUGUGUUGGCAUAUUGCUAAUGUUAGACUGUGGGCAAACAGUAGUUUCAAAUUAGUAUCAUAGUAUUAGGUAGAGUGUAGAAUAGUCCUGAGGUUAUGGAGUAAAUAAAAAUUACCCAGUAUAUUGUAAUAUAGACAAAUACCUCAAGGUUUGGAAUGCAGAAUAUCUUGAUAGAAUAUCUCCAAUGCAAACUAAGCCAUAAUAUACAUAUAUAUUUAUUUAGAUCUUUAGCAGCAAUAACAAUGUUAUGCAUGGUUUUAGUGCCAGGGUGAUUGUUGUUUCUGUGGAGUGGCAACUCUUAGCAAACUGUAGCUGUGGUUGAAAUUUUGUAGGGAGGCAACUGUAUUAUGUAUAUCUGGCUUUAGAAUACACUGGGGUAAGGAGUACUUGGUGAUGGCAUAGGGGAUUACAUCUGUAUGUGCCAAUUUUUAAUAAACAUACUCUUGAACUGUCCCUUGACAGGCUGCAUUGUGCUGGUGUAUGAUCUAGCACAAUGAUUUAAUUGUAAUCUAAAUAUCAACAUAGAUCUUGGAAUAUGGAUCAGAAAAAAAUCUUCAGUUAAUAUUUUUAUCUGUAAGCUGUUUGUAUGGUGUGGAUUUACUGAUUUUUGCUAAUCUUGAAAUGUCUCAUCUGUGUAUUGCAUAUAAUCAAAGGAAAGAGGAGUGUAUUGUGAGUAUAUAAUACUUGCAUUGAGAGUCUGUAACGAUACACAGCAGAAGUUGCCAUCAAACUGCAACUUGGCAUUCUAGGAACAUGAAUAUAGGCAGAACAGUUUACCCUAUGUUUCAUGCAUGUUUACAUACUAAAUGUUGUUUAGCUGUUUAAAUGUAAUCAAUCUCACACACACACACACACACACAUAUACAUAUAUAUACAUAUGUAUGUACAUGCGUACAUACAU